This 528-nucleotide ribosomal RNA is filed under the name Triticum aestivum (bread wheat). RNAcentral describes it as "partial small subunit ribosomal RNA". Lineage: Eukaryota; Viridiplantae; Streptophyta; Magnoliopsida; Poales; Poaceae. The record is from RNAcentral.
AUGAACGGGCAUGCGAUGAUAAGGAACUUUGGUGCGGGACAUGGUCUUAAAAGAGAUGGCAUGUCAGCACCAGUCCGAGUUUUCAACAUGAAGGACAACAAGCUAUACCCAGGAGGAAGUCCGCACUAUAGGGCAAUCUUUGACCCAAGCUUUGCGGACAUAGCCAUUGUCAGCAGCAAAGAAGAUGAAUUGCAGCGUGUGCACUGGAUGUUCAAGAAAGAAAACCAUGAUUACAAACUAGAGGAAUGCACAAAAUUUUUCGUUAUACUUGAGAUCGCAAAAGGGUGGUGUAUUUAUGAGAUAGACAUUGCUGCAAGAACUCUACGCGUAAUGGAUCCCAUGCUUACAACCUCCCCACCAGGUUCACUUGAACAGAAGCACAAAGAAACAAGCAAGUGCGUCACCCGAUGCCUCUUCAAAUGCCUCAAUGCAUGUUAUCCAGACUGUUCUGAGAGUGGCUUCUAUGUCCUGCACUACAUCAAGGAGUAUGAUGGGUGCAGGCUGCAAAUAAUGCCAACCCCGCUUUAA